RNAcentral lists this ribosomal RNA (371 nucleotides) under uncultured bacterium. RNAcentral's name for it is "bacterial SSU rRNA". It matches the Rfam family "Bacterial small subunit ribosomal RNA", at positions 527 to 896 of the family's 1533-position model. The record is from RNAcentral.
GAAGGGWGCAAGCGUUACUCGGAAUUACUGGGCGUAAAGCGUGCGUAGGUGGUGAGUUAAGUCUGUCGUGAAAGCCCCGGGCUCAACCUGGGAAUGGCGAUGGAUACUGGCUCGCUAGAGUGCGGUAGAGGAGAGUGGAAUUCCCGGUGUAGCAGUGAAAUGCGUAGAGAUCGGGAGGAACAUCAGUUGCGAAGGCGGCUCUCUGGACCAGCACUGACACUGAGGCACGAAAGCGUGGGGAGCAAACAGGAUUAGAUACCCUGGUAGUCCACGCCCUAAACGAUGCGAACUGGACGUUGGGAGCAACUAGGCUCUCAGUGUCGAAGCUAACGCGUUAAGUUCGCCGCCUGGGGAGUACGGUCGCAAGAGUG